This 494-nucleotide ribosomal RNA is filed under the name uncultured bacterium. Its description in RNAcentral is "partial 16S ribosomal RNA". It matches the Rfam family "Bacterial small subunit ribosomal RNA", at positions 28 to 507 of the family's 1533-position model. The record is from RNAcentral.
GACGAACGCUGGCGGCGUGCUUAACACAUGCAAGUCGAACGGUGAAGCGCCUUCCUUUUUGGUGGGUGCGGAUGAGUGGCGAACGGGUGAGUAACACGUGAGUAACCUGCCCCCUUCUUCUGGAUAACCGCAUGAAAGUGUGGCUAAUACGGGAUAUUCUGGGUCUGUCGCAUGAUGGGUCUGGGAAAGAUAUUGUUUCGGUGGGGGAUGGGCUCGCGGCCUAUCAGCUUGUUGGUGGGGUGAUGGCCUACCAAGGCGGUGACGGGUAGCCGGCCUGAGAGGGUGGACGGUCACACUGGGACUGAGACACGGCCCAGACUCCUACGGGAGGCAGCAGUGGGGAAUAUUGCACAAUGGGCGCAAGCCUGAUGCAGCGACGCCGCGUGAGGGAUGGAGGCCUUCGGGUUGUGAACCUCUUUCGCCAGUGAAGCAGGCCUGCCUCGUUUGUGGGUGGGUUGACGGUAGCUGGAUAAGAAGCGCCGGCUAACUACGUG